UUAAGCGACUAAGCGUACACGGUGGAUGCCCUGGCAGUCAGAGGCGAUGAAGGACGUGCUAAUCUGCGAAAAGCGUCGGUAAGGUGAUAUGAACCGUUACAACCGGCGAUGUCCGAAUGGGGAAACCCAGUGCAAUUCGUUGCACUAUCGUUAACUGAAUACAUAGGUUAACGAGGCGAACCGGGGGAACUGAAACAUCUAAGUACCCCGAGGAAAAGAAAUCAACCGAGAUUCCCCCAGUAGCGGCGAGCGAACGGGGAGCAGCCCAGAGUCUGAAUCAGCUUGUGUGUUAGUGGAACGGUCUGGAAAGUCCGACGGUACAGGGUGAUAGUCCCGUACACCAAAAUGCACAGGUUGUGAACUCGAAGAGUAGGGCGGGACACGUGGUAUCCUGUCUGAAUAUGGGGGGACCAUCCUCCAAGGCUAAAUACUCCUGACUGACCGAUAGUGAACCAGUACCGUGAGGGAAAGGCGAAAAGAACCCCGGCGAGGGGAGUGAAAAAGAACCUGAAACCGUGUACGUACAAGCAGUGGGAGCACCUUCGGGUGUGACUGCGUACCUUUUGUAUAAUGGGUCAGCGACUUAUAUUCUGUAGCAAGGUUAACCGUAUAGGGGAGCCGCAGGGAAACCGAGUCUUAACUGGGCGUUAAGUUGCAGGGUAUAGACCCGAAACCCGGUGAUCUAGCCAUGGGCAGGUUGAAGGUUGGGUAACACUAACUGGAGGACCGAACCGACUAAUGUUGAAAAAUUAGCGGAUGACUUGUGGCUGGGGGUGAAAGGCCAAUCAAACCGGGAGAUAGCUGGUUCUCCCCGAAAGCUAUUUAGGUAGCGCCUCGUGAAUUCAUCUUCGGGGGUAGAGCACUGUUUCGGCUAGGGGGUCAUCCCGACUUACCAACCCGAUGCAAACUACGAAUACCGAAGAAUGUUAUCACGGGAGACACACGGCGGGUGCUAACGUCCGUCGUGAAGAGGGAAACAACCCAGACCGCCAGCUAAGGUCCCAAAGUCAUGGUUAAGUGGGAAACGAUGUGGGAAGGCACAGACAGCCAGGAUGUUGGCUUAGAAGCAGCCAUCAUUUAAAGAAAGCGUAAUAGCUCACUGGUCGAGUCGGCCUGCGCGGAAGAUGUAACGGGGCUAAACCAUGCACCGAAGCUGCGGCAGCGACACUAUGUGUUGUUGGGUAGGGGAGCGUUCUGUAAGCCUGCGAAGGUGUGCUGUGAGGCAUGCUGGAGGUAUCAGAAGUGCGAAUGCUGACAUAAGUAACGAUAAAGCGGGUGAAAAGCCCGCUCGCCGGAAGACCAAGGGUUCCUGUCCAACGUUAAUCGGGGCAGGGUGAGUCGACCCCUAAGGCGAGGCCGAAAGGCGUAGUCGAUGGGAAACAGGUUAAUAUUCCUGUACUUGGUGUUACUGCGAAGGGGGGACGGAGAAGGCUAUGUUAGCCGGGCGACGGUUGUCCCGGUUUAAGCAUGUAGGCUGAUUGUCCAGGCAAAUCCGGAUAAUCAAGGCUGAGGUGUGAUGACGAGGCACUACGGUGCUGAAGUAACAAAUGCCCUGCUUCCAGGAAAAGCCUCUAAGCAUCAGGUAACAUCAAAUCGUACCCCAAACCGACACAGGUGGUCAGGUAGAGAAUACCAAGGCGCUUGAGAGAACUCGGGUGAAGGAACUAGGCAAAAUGGUGCCGUAACUUCGGGAGAAGGCACGCUGGUGUGUAGGUGAAGUCCCUGCGGAUGGAGCUGAGACCAGUCGAAGAUACCAGCUGGCUGCAACUGUUUAUUAAAAACACAGCACUGUGCAAACACGAAAGUGGACGUAUACGGUGUGACGCCUGCCCGGUGCCGGAAGGUUAAUUGAUGGGGUUAUCCGUAAGGAGAAGCUCUUGAUCGAAGCCCCGGUAAACGGCGGCCGUAACUAUAACGGUCCUAAGGUAGCGAAAUUCCUUGUCGGGUAAGUUCCGACCUGCACGAAUGGCGUAAUGAUGGCCAGGCUGUCUCCACCCGAGACUCAGUGAAAUUGAACUCGCUGUGAAGAUGCAGUGUACCCGCGGCAAGACGGAAAGACCCCGUGAACCUUUACUAUAGCUUGACACUGAACAUUGAGCCUUGAUGUGUAGGAUAGGUGGGAGGCUUUGAAGCGUGGACGCCAGUCUGCGUGGAGCCAACCUUGAAAUACCACCCUUUAAUGUUUGAUGUUCUAACGUUGGCCCCUGACCGGGGUUGCGGACAGUGUCUGGUGGGUAGUUUGACUGGGGCGGUCUCCUCCCAAAGCGUAACGGAGGAGCACGAAGGUUAGCUAAUCCUGGUCGGACAUCAGGAGGUUAGUGCAAUGGCAUAAGCUAGCUUGACUGCGAGCGUGACGGCGCGAGCAGGUGCGAAAGCAGGUCAUAGUGAUCCGGUGGUUCUGAAUGGAAGGGCCAUCGCUCAACGGAUAAAAGGUACUCCGGGGAUAACAGGCUGAUACCGCCCAAGAGUUCAUAUCGACGGCGGUGUUUGGCACCUCGAUGUCGGCUCAUCACAUCCUGGGGCUGAAGUAGGUCCCAAGGGUAUGGCUGUUCGCCAUUUAAAGUGGUACGCGAGCUGGGUUUAGAACGUCGUGAGACAGUUCGGUCCCUAUCUGCCGUGGGCGCUGGAGAAUUGAGGGGGGCUGCUCCUAGUACGAGAGGACCGGAGUGGACGCAUCACUGGUGUUCGGGUUGUCAUGCCAAUGGCACUGCCCGGUAGCUAAAUGCGGAAGAGAUAAGUGCUGAAAGCAUCUAAGCACGAAACUUGCCCCGAGAUGAGUUCUCCCUGAGACUUUAAGUCUCCUGAAGGAACGUUGAAGACGACGACGUUGAUAGGCCGGGUGUGUAAGCGCAGCGAUGCGUUGAGCUAACCGGUACUAAUGAACCGUGAGGCUUAACCUU
RNAcentral lists this ribosomal RNA (2900 nucleotides) under Klebsiella pneumoniae. RNAcentral's name for it is "bacterial LSU rRNA". It matches the Rfam family "Bacterial large subunit ribosomal RNA". The record is from RNAcentral. Lineage: Bacteria; Pseudomonadati; Pseudomonadota; Gammaproteobacteria; Enterobacterales; Enterobacteriaceae.